GCGUAGUCGAUGGGAAACAGGUUAAUAUUCCUGUACUUGGUGUUACUGCGAAGGGGGGACGGAGAAGGCUAUGUUGGCCGGGCGACGGUUGUCCCGGUUUAAGCGUGUAGGCUGGUUUUCCAGGCAAAUCCGGAAAAUCAAGGCUGAGGCGUGAUGACGAGGCACUACGGUGCUGAAGCAACAAAUGCCCUGCUUCCAGGAAAAGCCUCUAAGCAUCAGGUAACAUCAAAUCGUACCCCAAACCGACACAGGUGGUCAGGUAGAGAAUACCAAGGCGCUUGAGAGAACUCGGGUGAAGGAACUAGGCAAAAUGGUGCCGUAACUUCGGGAGAAGGCACGCUGAUAUGUAGGUGAAGUCCCUCGCGGAUGGAGCUGAAAUCAGUCGAAGAUACCAGCUGGCUGCAACUGUUUAUUAAAAACACAGCACUGUGCAAACACGAAAGUGGACGUAUACGGUGUGACGCCUGCCCGGUGC
Molecule: ribosomal RNA, 475 nt
Filed under: Escherichia coli
Lineage: Bacteria; Pseudomonadati; Pseudomonadota; Gammaproteobacteria; Enterobacterales; Enterobacteriaceae
Description: partial 23S ribosomal RNA
Rfam family: Bacterial large subunit ribosomal RNA
Source: RNAcentral